This is a long non-coding RNA of Oncorhynchus tshawytscha (Chinook salmon), 456 nucleotides long. Lineage: Eukaryota; Metazoa; Chordata; Actinopteri; Salmoniformes; Salmonidae. The record is from Ensembl.
AGACUGUCUUGUACCCCUACUUGGACAAUUUGUCCCAUUUAGUUAUUGAACUUUAACAGACAGACAGAGCAGUGGGAGAGAGAGGUCUAGGUGGUGAAGAGAGAGAGGUCUAGGUGGUGAAGAGAGAGAGGUCUAGGUGGGGUGGUGAAGAGAGAGAGGUCUAGGUGGUGAAGAGAGAGAGGUCUAGGUGGUGAAGAGAGAGAGGUCUAGGUGGUGAGAGGUCUAGGUGGUGAAGAGAGAGAGGUCUAGGUGGUGUGGUGAAGAGAGCAGUGGGAGAGAGAGGUCUAGGUGGUGAAGAGAGAGAGGUCUAGGUGGUGAAGAGAGCAGUGGGAGAGAGAGGUCUAGGUGGUGUGGUGAAGAGAGCAGUGGAGUGGUGGAGUUAUCAUGGUGUUUAGCAACCCUGAGGGGAAGGACAGGGCAGGAAGGAAGGCCGUAGAGUAGCAUCUCUCUUUCGAU